CAAGGUUUCUAGAGUAUUUACUGUCGAUAGCAACAGCCCUGGCUUCGCUGCGCAGCAAAUCUCAAUCCGUGUAGCCUCAUUUACUCUUUCUACAUCAAAUUUCGGUGAAUUUCUCACUAUGAAUUCACUUGAUUUUGUGUCCUUCAAAAUGCCCAUCAUGUUCAACUGAUCGGAACCCACUUCAAUUUCUUGUUGCAAGUUUUGGAUUCUCUCAAGUAGCUCCUUCACGUAAUCUAUUGUAUCUCCAAGUAUUGAUGUUCUGUCCAUCUUGCUUAUCUUAGGAACAAUUGAUCUUAGCAUCGAAAGCCGAUCAUUUAACCUCUUUCUUCUUCUUCUCUCCGCCAUUAGGUUCUUUGAUGGCUGCCCCUCCAACUUCUUACCUCUCAUCUUUCUUUCUGGGCAAGAACCAAUAUUGAACACUGGUAUUUGUGGAGACUGAAUUCGCUCAACU
This 451-nucleotide unclassified non-coding RNA is filed under the name Hevea brasiliensis (rubber tree). Lineage: Eukaryota; Viridiplantae; Streptophyta; Magnoliopsida; Malpighiales; Euphorbiaceae. The record is from RNAcentral.